GACGAACGCUGGCGGCGUGCGUAAUACAUGCAAGUAGAACGCUGAAGGAGGAGCUUGCUUCUCUGGAUGAGUUGCGAACGGGUGAGUAACGCGUAGGUAACCUGCCUGGUAGCGGGGGAUAACUAUUGGAAACGAUAGCUAAUACCGCAUAACAGUAGAUGUUGCAUGACAUUUGCUUAAAAGGUGCAAUUGCAUCACUACCAGAUGGACCUGCGUUGUAUUAGCUAGUUGGUGGGGUAACGGCUCACCAAGGCAACGAUACAUAGCCGACCUGAGAGGGUGAUCGGCCACACUGGGACUGAGACACGGCCCAGACUCCUACGGGAGGCAGCAGUAGGGAAUCUUCGGCAAUGGACGGAAGUCUGACCGAGCAACGCCGCGUGAGUGAAGAAGGUUUUCGGAUCGUAAAGCUCUGUUGUAAGAGAAGAACGAGUGUGAGAGUGGAAAGUUCACACUGUGACGGUAUCUUACCAGAAAGGGACGGCUAACUACGUGCCAGCAGCCGCGGUAAUACGUAGGUCCCGAGCGUUGUCCGGAUUUAUUGGGCGUAAAGCGAGCGCAGGCGGUUAGAUAAGUCUGAAGUUAAAGGCUGUGGCUUAACCAUAGUACGCUUUGGAAACUGUUUAACUUGAGUGCAAGAGGGGAGAGUGGAAUUCCAUGUGUAGCGGUGAAAUGCGUAGAUAUAUGGAGGAACACCGGUGGCGAAAGCGGCUCUCUGGCUUGUAACUGACGCUGAGGCUCGAAAGCGUGGGGAGCAAACAGG
RNAcentral lists this ribosomal RNA (763 nucleotides) under uncultured Streptococcus sp. RNAcentral describes it as "bacterial SSU rRNA". It matches the Rfam family "Bacterial small subunit ribosomal RNA", at positions 28 to 776 of the family's 1533-position model. The record is from RNAcentral. Lineage: Bacteria; Bacillati; Bacillota; Bacilli; Lactobacillales; Streptococcaceae.